CACAUGCAGUCGAACGGUGAAGCACGAAGCUUGCUCUGUGGAUCAGUGGCGAACGGGUGAGUAACACGUGAGCAAUCUGCCCCUGACUCUGGGAUAAGCGCUGGAAACGGCGUCUAAUACCGGAUACGAGCUGCGACCGCAUGGUCAGUAGCUGGAAAGAAUUUCGGUCAGGGAUGAGCUCGCGGCCUAUCAGCUUGUUGGUGAGGUAAUGGCUCACCAAGGCGUCGACGGGUAGCCGGCCUGAGAGGGUGACCGGCCACACUGGGACUGAGACACGGCCCAGACUCCUACGGGAGGCAGCAGUGGGGAAUAUUGCACAAUGGGCGAAAGCCUGAUGCAGCAACGCCGCGUGAGGGAUGACGGCCUUCGGGUUGUAAACCUCUUUUAGCAGGGAAGAAGCGAAAGUGACGGUACCUGCAGAAAAAGCGCCGGCUAACUACGUGCCAGCAGCCGCGGUAAUACGUAGGGCGCAAGCGUUAUCCGGAAUUAUUGGGCGUAAAGAGCUCGUAGGCGGUCUGUCGCGUCUGCUGUGAAAACCCGAGGCUCAACCUCGGGCCUGCAGUGGGUACGGGCAGACUAGAGUGCGGUAGGGGAGAUUGGAAUUCCUGGUGUAGCGGUGGAAUGCGCAGAUAUCAGGAGGAACACCGAUGGCGAAGGCAGAUCUCUGGGCCGUAACUGACGCUGAGGAGCGAAAGGGUGGGGAGCAAACAGGCUUAGAUACCCUGGUAGUCCACCCCGUAAACGUUGGGAACUAGUUGUGGGGUCCAUUCCACGGAUUCCGUGACGCAGCUAACGCAUUAAGUUCCCCGCCUGGGGAGUACGGCCGCAAGGCUAAAACUCAAAGGAAUUGACGGGGACCCGCACAAGCGGCGGAGCAUGCGGAUUAAUUCGAUGCAACGCGAAGAACCUUACCAAGGCUUGACAUAUAGAGGAAACGUCUGGAAACAGUCGCCCCGCAAGGUCUCUAUACAGGUGGUGCAUGGUUGUCGUCAGCUCGUGUCGUGAGAUGUUGGGUUAAGUCCCGCAACGAGCGCAACCCUCGUUCUAUGUUGCCAGCACGUAAUGGUGGGAACUCAUGGGAUACUGCCGGGGUCAACUCGGAGGAAGGUGGGGAUGACGUCAAAUCAUCAUGCCCCUUAUGUCUUGGGCUUCACGCAUGCUACAAUGGCCGGUACAAAGGGCUGCAAUACCGUGAGGUGGAGCGAAUCCCAAAAAGCCGGUCCCAGUUCGGAUUGAGGUCUGCAACUCGACCUCAUGAAGUCGGAGUCGCUAGUAAUCGCAGAUCAGCAACGCUGCGGUGAAUACGUUCCCGGGUCUUGUACACACCGCCCGUCAAGUCAUGAAAGUCGGUAACACCUGAAGCCGGUGGCCCAACCUGCUUAGUGGAGUGAGC
Molecule: ribosomal RNA, 1393 nt
Filed under: Microbacterium sp. AAI8
Lineage: Bacteria; Bacillati; Actinomycetota; Actinomycetes; Micrococcales; Microbacteriaceae
Description: 16S ribosomal RNA
Rfam family: Bacterial small subunit ribosomal RNA
Source: RNAcentral